RNAcentral lists this ribosomal RNA (253 nucleotides) under uncultured bacterium. RNAcentral's name for it is "partial 16S ribosomal RNA". It matches the Rfam family "Bacterial small subunit ribosomal RNA", at positions 524 to 776 of the family's 1533-position model. The record is from RNAcentral.
UACGUAGGGAGCAAGCGUUGUUCGGAUUUACUGGGCGUAAAGGGCGCGUAGGCGGCGCGGUAAGUCACUUGUGAAAUCUCUGAGCUUAACUCAGAACGGCCAAGUGAUACUGCAGUGCUAGAGUGCAGAAGGGGCAAUCGGAAUUCUUGGUGUAGCGGUGAAAUGCGUAGAUAUCAAGAGGAACACCUGAGGUGAAGACGGGUUGCUGGGCUGACACUGACGCUGAGGCGCGAAAGCCAGGGGAGCAAACAGG